RNAcentral lists this transfer RNA (68 nucleotides) under Marmota monax (woodchuck). RNAcentral describes it as "tRNA.Ala". The record is from RNAcentral. Lineage: Eukaryota; Metazoa; Chordata; Mammalia; Rodentia; Sciuridae.
GUUGUGGCUCAGUGGCAGAGCGCUUGCCUAGCAUGUGUGAGGCACUGGGUUCGAUUCUCAGGACCACA